This 500-nucleotide ribosomal RNA is filed under the name uncultured bacterium. RNAcentral describes it as "partial 16S ribosomal RNA". It matches the Rfam family "Bacterial small subunit ribosomal RNA", at positions 30 to 523 of the family's 1533-position model. The record is from RNAcentral.
AUUGAACGCUGGCGGCAUGCCUUACACAUGCAAGUCGAACGGCAGCGCGGGAGCAAUCCUGGUGGCGAGUGGCGAACGGGUGAGUAAUAUAUCGGAACGUGCCCAGUCGUGGGGGAUAACGCAGCGAAAGCUGUGCUAAUACCGCAUACGAUCUACGGAUGAAAGCGGGGGAUCGCAAGACCUCGCGCGAUUGGAGCGGCCGAUAUCAGAUUAGCUAGUUGGUGAGGUAAAGGCUCACCAAGGCGACGAUCUGUAGCUGGUCUGAGAGGACGACCAGCCACACUGGAACUGAGACACGGUCCAGACUCCUACGGGAGGCAGCAGUGGGGAAUUUUGGACAAUGGGCGAAAGCCUGAUCCAGCAAUGCCGCGUGCAGGAUGAAGGCCUUCGGGUUGUAAACUGCUUUUGUACGGAACGAAACGGUGAGCUCUAAUACAGUUUGCUAAUGACGGUACCGUAAGAAUAAGCACCGGCUAACUACGUGCCAGCCGCCGCAGUAA